Non-coding RNA from Abortiporus biennis, 93 nucleotides. Lineage: Eukaryota; Fungi; Basidiomycota; Agaricomycetes; Polyporales; Podoscyphaceae. The record is from the annotation of a GenBank genome assembly.
UGCCCCAUGGCUGAGUUGGUUACAGCGUCCGACUGUUAAGCUCUUGUGGUUUGUUCAAUCGGAAGGUCGUGAGUUCGAGCCUCACUGGGGCAG